RNAcentral lists this ribosomal RNA (1213 nucleotides) under Salmonella enterica subsp. enterica serovar Enteritidis. RNAcentral's name for it is "partial 23S ribosomal RNA". It matches the Rfam family "Bacterial large subunit ribosomal RNA", at positions 1 to 1247 of the family's 2925-position model. Lineage: Bacteria; Pseudomonadati; Pseudomonadota; Gammaproteobacteria; Enterobacterales; Enterobacteriaceae. The record is from RNAcentral.
GGGUUGUGAGGUUAAGCGACUAAGCGUACACGGUGGAUGCCCUGGCAGUCAGAGGCGAUGAAGGGCGUGCUAAUCUGCGAUAAGCGCCGGUAAGGUGAUAUGAACCGUUAUAACCGGCGAUACCCGAAUGGGGAAACCCAGUGUGACUCGUCACACUAUCAUUAACUGAAUCCAUAGGUUAAUGAGGCGAACCGGGGGAACUGAAACAUCUAAGUACCCCGAGGAAAAGAAAUCAACCGAGAUUCCCCCAGUAGCGGCGAGCGAACGGGGAGGAGCCCAGAGCCUGAAUCAGCAUGUGUGUUAGUGGAAGCGUCUGGAAAGGCGCGCGAUACAGGGUGACAGCCCCGUACACAAAAGCGCAUGUGCUGUGAGCUCGAUGAGUAGGGCGGGACACGUGGUAUCCUGUCUGAAUAUGGGGGGACCAUCCUCCAAGGCUAAAUACUCCUGACUGACCGAUAGUGAACCAGUACCGUGAGGGAAAGGCGAAAAGAACCCCGGCGAGGGGAGUGAAAAAGAACCUGAAACCGUGUACGUACAAGCAGUGGGAGCACCCUUUGGGUGUGACUGCGUACCUUUUGUAUAAUGGGUCAGCGACUUAUAUUCUGUAGCAAGGUUAACCGAAUAGGGGAGCCGGAGGGAAACCGAGUCUUAACCGGGCGUUAAGUUGCAGGGUAUAGACCCGAAACCCGGUGAUCUAGCCAUGGGCAGGUUGAAGGUUGGGUAACACUAACUGGAGGACCGAACCGACUAAUGUUGAAAAAUUAGCGGAUGACCUGUGGCUGGGGGUGAAAGGCCAAUCAAACCGGGAGAUAGCUGGUUCUCCCCGAAAGCUAUUUAGGUAGCGCCUCGUGAAUUCAUCUCCGGGGGUAGAGCACUGUUUCGGCUAGGGGGCCAUCCCGGCUUACCAACCCGAUGCAAACUGCGAAUACCGGAGAAUGUUAUCACGGGAGACACACGGCGGGUGCUAACGUCCGUCGUGAAGAGGGAAACAACCCAGACCGCCAGCUAAGGUCCCAAAGUCAUGGUUAAGUGGGAAACGAUGUGGGAAGGCCCAGACAGCCAGGAUGUUGGCUUAGAAGCAGCCAUCAUUUAAAGAAAGCGUAAUAGCUCACUGGUCGAGUCGGCCUGCGCGGAAGAUGUAACGGGGCUAAACCAUGCACCGAAGCUGCGGCAGCGACACUGUGUGUUGUUGGGUAGGGGAGCGUUCUGUAAG